AUGGACACUAAAGCAGUUGCCAAGGGGGACUUUGAGGAAAUCAAUAUGCAGUUGCAAAAUUUUUUGAUUCAACAGAAUUUUUCAUGGCUCGAUAGUUUGAGGGAGAUCAGAGCUAAUUUCAAGGAAUUAGAUCUGUUGAUGGAAGUUGGAGAAACUGCGACAGAACCAACAGUGGCUGAAUCGGCUACCUCAUUCAAACUAGCAAAUUCUUAA
This is a non-coding RNA of Vicia faba (fava bean), 213 nucleotides long. The record is from the annotation of a GenBank genome assembly. NCBI's taxonomy places the organism in Eukaryota, Viridiplantae, Streptophyta, Magnoliopsida, Fabales, Fabaceae.